Molecule: ribosomal RNA, 1012 nt
Filed under: Oxalobacteraceae sp. CFBP 8761
Lineage: Bacteria; Pseudomonadati; Pseudomonadota; Betaproteobacteria; Burkholderiales; Oxalobacteraceae
Description: bacterial SSU rRNA
Rfam family: Bacterial small subunit ribosomal RNA
Source: RNAcentral
GAACUGAAGAGUUUGAUCCUGGCUCAGAUUGAACGCUGGCGGCAUGCUUUACACAUGCAAGUCGAACGGCAGCGCGGGGCAACCUGGCGGCGAGUGGCGAACGGGUGAGUAAUAUAUCGGAACGUACCCAAGAGUGGGGGAUAACGUAGCGAAAGUUACGCUAAUACCGCAUACGAUCUAAGGAUGAAAGCAGGGGAUCUUCGGACCUUGUGCUCCUGGAGCGGCCGAUAUCUGAUUAGCUAGUUGGUGAGGUAAAGGCUCACCAAGGCCACGAUCAGUAGCUGGUCUGAGAGGACGACCAGCCACACUGGAACUGAGACACGGUCCAGACUCCUACGGGAGGCAGCAGUGGGGAAUUUUGGACAAUGGGCGAAAGCCUGAUCCAGCAAUGCCGCGUGAGUGAAGAAGGCCUUCGGGUUGUAAAGCUCUUUUGUCAGGGAAGAAACGGUGAGGGCUAAUAUCCUUCGCUAAUGACGGUACCUGAAGAAUAAGCACCGGCUAACUACGUGCCAGCAGCCGCGGUAAUACGUAGGGUGCAAGCGUUAAUCGGAAUUACUGGGCGUAAAGCGUGCGCAGGCGGUUUUGUAAGUCUGACGUGAAAUCCCCGGGCUCAACCUGGGAAUUGCGUUGGAGACUGCAAGGCUAGAAUCUGGCAGAGGGGGGUAGAAUUCCACGUGUAGCAGUGAAAUGCGUAGAGAUGUGGAGGAACACCGAUGGCGAAGGCAGCCCCCUGGGUCAAGAUUGACGCUCAUGCACGAAAGCGUGGGGAGCAAACAGGAUUAGAUACCCUGGUAGUCCACGCCCUAAACGAUGUCUACUAGUUGUCGGGUUUUAAUUAACUUGGUAACGCAGCUAACGCGUGAAGUAGACCGCCUGGGGAGUACGGUCGCAAGAUUAAAACUCAAAGGAAUUGACGGGGACCCGCACAAGCGGUGGAUGAUGUGGAUUAAUUCGAUGCAACGCGAAAAACCUUACCUACCCUUGACAUGUACGGAAGGCCGAAGAGAUUUGG